Harmonia axyridis is the source of this 242-nucleotide long non-coding RNA. RefSeq lists it as uncharacterized. Lineage: Eukaryota; Metazoa; Arthropoda; Insecta; Coleoptera; Coccinellidae. The record is from RefSeq and is a predicted model, not a curated record. The transcript has 3 exons.
GUGAAAUUAUUCAUUUAUAAUUUUUUGAAUUGAUGAAUUCUGCGUGAUAAUUUUUUUUUUUUUUUUUUCAGAGGAAUUGAAAUCAAUUCAUUGAUGAAGAGGGGUAUUUAUAAAUAGGAAUUCAAAUCAAUUCAUCGAUGAAGGGGUAUUUAUAAAUGUUUCCUUGUGAAUGAAUAACACAGUGGCCUUGGACAAAAUCACAUUUAUUCUAGACUGACAUUCAUCAAAUAUCAAUAAACUUA